This is a long non-coding RNA of Stylophora pistillata, 193 nucleotides long. Lineage: Eukaryota; Metazoa; Cnidaria; Anthozoa; Scleractinia; Pocilloporidae. The record is from RefSeq and is a predicted model, not a curated record.
ACAGAAAAUUUGGCAAACCAGCGGGACGAAACUAUUGGAGAGACGAUGUGCAUUUUGCUCGACAGAGAUUGUGUGGCUGUAAUCCAACACUGAUUCGUCUUUGUACCGAUAUACCUGACAAGUUUGCUGUGACGUCAGCAAUGCUCGAGCUUUUUCUUGAAGGACAAACACUAGGGAUGGCGUUGGAGGCAAA